GCUGUAGCUCAGUGGGAAAGCAUCCUGUUUUGCUUGCAGAAGGUCCCAGGUUCAAUCGCUAGCAUCUCCU
Non-coding RNA from Podarcis lilfordi (Lilford's wall lizard), 70 nucleotides. Lineage: Eukaryota; Metazoa; Chordata; Lepidosauria; Squamata; Lacertidae. The record is from the annotation of a GenBank genome assembly.